AGAGUUUGAUCCUGGCUCAGGAUGAACGCUAGCUACAGGCUUAACACAUGCAAGUCGAGGGGCAGCAUUAUCUUAGCUUGCUAAGAUAGAUGGCGACCGGCGCACGGGUGAGUAACACGUAUCCAACCUUCCGGUUACUCGGGGAUAGGCUUUCGAAAGAAAGAUUAAUACCCGAUGUUGCGUAUCUUUCUCCUGAAAGAUACGCCAAAGGAUUCCGGUAACCGAUGGGGAUGCGUUCCAUUAGGCAGUUGGCGGGGUAACGGCCCACCAAACCUUCGAUGGAUAGGGGUUCUGAGAGGAAGGUCCCCCACAUUGGAACUGAGACACGGUCCAAACUCCUACGGGAGGCAGCAGUGAGGAAUAUUGGUCAAUGGACGCAAGUCUGAACCAGCCAAGUAGCGUGAAGGAUGACUGCCCUCUGGGUUGUAAACUUCUUUUAUACGGGAAUAACAUGAGGUACGCGUACCUUAUUGCAUGUACCGUUAUGAAUAAGCAUCGGCUAACUCCGUGCCAGCAGCCGCGGUAAUACGGAGGAUGCGAGCGUUAUCCGGAUUUAUUGGGUUUAAAGGGAGCGUAGGUGGGAUAUUAAGUCAGCUGUGAAAGUUUGGGGCUCAACCUUAAAAUUGCAGUUGAUACUGGUUUCCUUGAGUACGGUACAGGUGGGCGGAAUUCGUGGUGUAGCGGUGAAAUGCUUAGAUAUCACGAAGAACUCCGAUCGCGAAGGCAGCUCACCGGGCCGGAACUGACACUGAUGCUCGAAAGUGCGGGUAUCAAACAGGAUUAGAUACCCUGGUAGUCCGCACAGUAAACGAUGAAUACUCGCUGUUUGCGAUACACAGUAAGCGGCCAAGCGAAAGCGUUAAGUAUUCCACCUGGGGAGUACGCUGGCAACGGUGAAACUCAAAGGAAUUGACGG
RNAcentral lists this ribosomal RNA (916 nucleotides) under uncultured bacterium. RNAcentral's name for it is "bacterial SSU rRNA". It matches the Rfam family "Bacterial small subunit ribosomal RNA", at positions 8 to 916 of the family's 1533-position model. The record is from RNAcentral.